Molecule: RNA transcript, 1582 nt
Organism: Nannospalax galili (Upper Galilee mountains blind mole rat)
Lineage: Eukaryota; Metazoa; Chordata; Mammalia; Rodentia; Spalacidae
Gene name: T-complex protein 1 subunit zeta pseudogene
Exons: 1
Source: RefSeq, a predicted model, not a curated record
AUGGCUGUGGUGGAGACCCUGAACCCCAAGGCUGAGGUGGCCCAGGCGCACGCGGCACUGGCUGUGAAUAUCAGUGUGGCCCAGGGCCCACAGGACAUGCUGAGGAUCAACUUGGGGCCUAAGGACACCAUGAAGAUGCUUGUUUCUGGUGCUGGAGAAAUCAAAUGUACUAAAGAUGGGACCGUCCUGCUUCACAAAAUGAAAAUUCAACUCCCAACAGCCUCUUUAAUAGCAAAAGUGGCCACAGCCCAGGAUGACAUAACUGGUGAUGGUACUACUUCCAACGUCCUUAUCAUUGGGGAGCUGCUGAAACAGGCAGACCUCUACAUCUCUGAGGGUCUUAAGACUUUGAAGCUGUAAAGGAAAAGGACCUCCAGCUUUUGGAAUAAAUUAAACAGAGAAAUGGACAGAGAAACACUUAUCGACAAGGCCAGAACAUCUCUACUAACUAAAGUUUAUGCUGAGCUUGCAGAUGUCUUAACAGAGGCUGUAGUGGACUCCAUUUUGGCCAUUAAGAGAAAAGAUGAGCCCAUUGACCUCUUCAUGGUUGAACUCAUGGAGACGAAGCAUAAGUCUGAAACUGAUACAAGAUUAAUCCAAGGGUUAGUUUUGGAUUAUGGAGCAUGCCAUCCUGAUAAGAAGAAGAGAGCAGAAAAUGCAUACAACCACACAAGCAACGUUUCCUUAGAAUAUGAGAAAACAGAAGUGAAUUCUGGGUUUUUUUUUACAAGAGUGCAGAAGAGAGAAAAACUAGUAAAAGCAGAAUGAAAAUUCAUUGAAGACAGAGUUUUAAAAAAUAAUAGAAUUGAACAAAAAAGUCUGUGGUUUUUCAGAUAAAGGAUUUGUUGUUAUUAAUCAAAAUAGAAUUGACCCAUUUUCUUUAGAUGCCCUUGCAAAAGAAGGCAUAAUAGUUUGCGCAGAGCAAAGAGGAGAAAUAUGGAGAGGAUGACUCUUGCUUGUGGUGGGGUAGCUCUGAAUUCCUUUGAUGACCUGAAUCCUGACUGUCUGGGACAUGCAGGGCUUGUAUAUGAGUAUAUACUGGGAGAAAAGAAGUUCACCUUCAUUGAGAAAUGUAACAAUCCCCAUUCUGUUACAUUACUGGUCAAAGGACCAAAUAAGCACACACUGACUCAAAUCAAGGAUGCAAUAAGAGAUGGCUUGAGAGCUGUCAAAAAUGCUAUUGAUGACUGUGUUGUCCCAGAUGGUGGUGCUGUAGAAGUGGUCAUGGCAGAAGCCCUGAUUAAAUGCAAGCCCAGUGUGAAGGGCAGGGCUCAACUUGGAGUCCAGGUAUUUGUAGAUGCCUUGCUGAUUAUCCCCAAGGCUCUUGCCCAGAUUCUAGUUUUGACCUUCAGGAAACAUUAACGUUCAAGACGAACAUUCAGAAUCGGGCCAGCUUUUCGGUGUGGAUUUGAGCACAGGUGAGCCAAUGGUAGCAGCAGAAAUAGGCGUAUGGGGUAACUACUGUGUGAAGAAACAGCUUCUUCACUCCUGCACUGUCAUUGCCACCAACAUUCUCCUGGUAGAUGAGAUCAUGAGAGCUGGAAUGGCAUCUUUGAAAGGCUCAACUGUCCCUUUUAUGUGA